Long non-coding RNA from Homarus americanus (American lobster), 930 nucleotides. RefSeq lists it as uncharacterized. NCBI's taxonomy places the organism in Eukaryota, Metazoa, Arthropoda, Malacostraca, Decapoda, Nephropidae. The record is from RefSeq and is a predicted model, not a curated record. The transcript is spliced from 4 exons.
AACAACUGCACAACACAAAACCACAACACCUGUACAACACAACGCCACCAAACCUUCACCUCACCACCACAAUAUAAACAUCUUGCCGGUUUUUACAACACACUCGGUCAUGGACUGAGAGAGGAGACGAAGAGGAACAGCCAAGGUUGUCUCGUGAGCAGUAACACCUGAUCCUGACUACAGGAGCGGCUGGGUGAGAAGGUGCCAAGCGGUGUGACUCCCUCGGAUGGCUGUUCCAAAUCAACACCGUGACUUCGAUCAAACAAUACUGCUCAUCUAGUCUUUCUCUCUCACGGCUGUUUGAUACCUGAAGACGGAGAAGAAGGUGAAGAGAGGAGAAGAGAAGAGAGGAGAAGAGAAGAGAAGAGAAGAGAAGAGACAGUGCAAAAUAUUUAUCUUUAUUAAAUGGUUAUCGAAAGUGAAAAACAAAAUUAACAUGUGGGAUGUCCAAAAAUAUUACUUGAACAAAGACGAAAAUAUAAGAUAACAAUGUCGAGAACAAUGAACAUCACCCUUAUGAACUCUCUGAGACUGAACACAUGACAAACGUUCACUAAAAUAUGUAAUAGUUAUUUGAAUUACAUAACAAUAUAUAACAGCAGAACAAAUGGUGAGGGAGAGGAAAUUACACCUCCACCCUCUCAAGAUGGUGAUAGUGGUGGAGAUAGUGUGGUUGUUGGUGAUGGUGGUGGUAGUGACGUGUAGGACGGAGAUUGUGAGUGAGAUAACAGGAGCACCAACAACACCAUUAACAGGAAAGAUAGUGACCUCAAUCACCAGGCAUUACCAGGGGGACGUCUACUCACUAACAGAUAUGGGCGAGUGUGGGUGUGUGGAGGGCGGCGGGGUGGUGACGAUGGGCCCGGGGGAAGGGUGCCAGUGCCUGUGCCCGCCCACCAAGCCCACUUUCAGGGAUAACUCCGCUACCUG